GGUAUAAGCCAUCUUUUUAUUUUUAAAAGACCUUUUUCGGAAGGUAUGCUUAAAGAGGGGCUUGCGUCACAUUAGUUAGUUGGCAGGGUAAAGGCCUACCAAGACUAUGAUGUGUAGCUGGACUGAGAGGUUGAACAGCCACAUUGGGACUGAGACACGGCCCAAACUCCUACGGGAGGCAGCAGUAGGGAAUUUUCGGCAAUGGAGGAAACUCUGACCGAGCAACGCCGCGUGAACGAUGAAGUAUUUCGGUAUGUAAAGUUCUUUUAUUGAAGAAGAAAAAAUAGUGGAAAAACUAUCUUGACGAUAUUCAAUGAAUAAGCCCCGGCAAACUAUGUGCCAGCAGCCGCGGUAAUACAUAGGGGGCGAGCGUUAUCCGGAAUUAUUGGGCGUAAAGGGUGCGUAGGCGGUUUAAUAAGUCUAUAGUUUAAUUUCAGUGCUUAACACUGUCCUGCUAUAGAAACUAUUAAACUAGAGUGAGAUAGAGGCAAGUGGAAUUCCAUGUGUAGCGGUAAAAUGCGUAAAUAUAUGGAGGAACACCAGAGGCGUAGGCGGCUUGCUGGGUCUUUACUGACGCUGAGGCACGAAAGCGUGGGGAGCAAACAGGAUUAGAUACCCUGGUAGUCCACGCCGUAAACGAUGAGUACUAAGUGUCGGGAUUACUCGGUACUGAAGUUAACACAUUAAGUACUCCGCCUGAGUAGUACGUACGCAAGUAUGAAACUUAAAGGAAUUGACGGGACUCCGCACAAGCGGUGGAUCAUGUUGUUUAAUUCGAAGAUACACGAAAAACCUUACCAGGUCUUGACAUACUCUGCAAAGCUAUAGCAAUAUAGUGAGGUUAUCAGGGAUACAGGUGGUGCAUGGUUGUCGUCAGCUCGUGUCGUGAGAUGUUAGGUUAAGUCCUAAAACGAGCGCAACCCUUGUCAUUAGUUGCCAGCAUGUCAUGAUGGGCACUUUAAUGAGACUGCCAAUGAAAAAUUGGAGGAAGGUGAGGAUCACGUCAAAUCAUCAUGCCCCUUAUGAUCUGGGCUACAAACGUGAUACAAUGGCUGUUACAAAGAGUAGCUGAAACGCAAGUUUAUAGCCAAUCUCAUAAAAACAGUCUCAGUUCGGAUUGAAGUCUGCAACUCGACUUCAUGAAGUUGGAAUCGCUAGUAAUCGCGAAUCAGCAUGUCGCGGGAAAAUUAACC
RNAcentral lists this ribosomal RNA (1193 nucleotides) under Candidatus Phytoplasma oryzae. RNAcentral's name for it is "bacterial SSU rRNA". It matches the Rfam family "Bacterial small subunit ribosomal RNA", at positions 180 to 1375 of the family's 1533-position model. Lineage: Bacteria; Bacillati; Mycoplasmatota; Mollicutes; Acholeplasmatales; Acholeplasmataceae. The record is from RNAcentral.